Molecule: ribosomal RNA, 253 nt
Filed under: uncultured bacterium
Lineage: Bacteria
Description: partial 16S ribosomal RNA
Rfam family: Bacterial small subunit ribosomal RNA
Source: RNAcentral
UACGUAGGGGGCAAGCGUUGUCCGGAAUCAUUGGGCGUAAAGAGCGCGUAGGCGGCCCGACAAGUCCGCUGUGAAAGUCAAGGGCUCAACCCUUGAAUGCCGGUGGAUACUGUCGGGCUAGAGUCCGGAAGAGGCGAGUGGAAUUCCUGGUGUAGCGGUGAAAUGCGCAGAUAUCAGGAGGAACACCAAUGGCGAAGGCAGCUCGCUGGGACGGUACUGACGCUGAGGCGCGAAAGCGUGGGGAGCAAACGGG